AAAGUCGUAACAAGGUUUCCGUAGGUGAACCUGCGGAAGGAUCAUUAUCACGUAUCCACGUAUAAACCAUUGUGAACCGUUCUUAUUAACCUUUGUAAUGGGCUAAGACAGUGUGAAUCAGAUAUUUUAAAACAGCAAUUGUGAUUGAGCUGUUGUUUGAUUCGCCACAGUCGAUGUUUCUCUCCGGAGUUCUCGAUCGUACUUAACCCAAACUUACAAAGUGUAUUCAAUCACUAUCUAUUAACCAUUUUAACCCAAUCUUUAUAACUUUAUGAACUAACUUUUAUUUUAUACUCUUCGGAGAUAAAAUUCAUUACGAAACAAAGAACAACUCUUAGCAACGGAUAUCUUGGUUCUC
RNAcentral lists this unclassified non-coding RNA (358 nucleotides) under Cercozoa sp. RNAcentral describes it as "partial contains small subunit ribosomal RNA, internal transcribed spacer 1, and 5.8S ribosomal RNA". The stretch from base 1 to 47 matches the Rfam family "Eukaryotic small subunit ribosomal RNA", at positions 1785 to 1831 of the family's 1831-position model. The record is from RNAcentral. Lineage: Eukaryota; Cercozoa.